GUGAAUCAUCGAAUCUUUGAACGCACAUUGCGCCCGCCAGUAUUCUGGCGGGCAUGCCUGUUCGAGCGUCAUUUCAACCCUCAAGCCCCAGCGGCUUGGUGUUGGGGACCGGCCCCGCGCCGCCCCCGAAAUGCAGUGGCGACCUCGCCGCAGCCUCCCCUGCGUAGUAGCACAAACCUCGCACCGGAGCGCGGAGACGGUCACGCCGUAAAACGCCCAACUUUCUAGAGUUGACCUCGGAUCAGGUAGGAAUACCCGCUGAACUUAAGCAUAUCAAUAAGCGGAGGA
RNAcentral lists this unclassified non-coding RNA (288 nucleotides) under Tolypocladium sp. RNAcentral's name for it is "partial contains 5.8S ribosomal RNA, internal transcribed spacer 2, and large subunit ribosomal RNA". The stretch from base 1 to 71 matches the Rfam family "5.8S ribosomal RNA", at positions 84 to 154 of the family's 154-position model. The record is from RNAcentral. Lineage: Eukaryota; Fungi; Ascomycota; Sordariomycetes; Hypocreales; Ophiocordycipitaceae.